UUCCUUCCUUUCUUUCUUUCUUCCUUCCUUUCUUGUCUCUCCCUUCCUUCCUUUUCCAUUCCUUCUUCUUUUCUUUUUCUGUCCUUCCUUCCUUUCUUUUCCAUUCCUUCCCUCUUUCCUUUUUUCUUCUUCCAUGCUUCCUUUUUCAUUUCCUUUCUUCCUUCCUUCCUUCCUUUCUUCCUUUUCUUCUUCUUUCCUUUCUUUCUUUCUUGUCCCUCCCUCCCUUCCUUUCUUUUCCAUUCCUUCCUCUUUUCUUGUUCUAUCCUUCCUACCUUUCUUUCUUUUCCAUUCCUUCCCUCUUUCCUUUUUCUUCUUCCGUGCUUCCUUGUUUCAUUUCCUUCCUUCCAUCCUUCCUUUCUUUCUGCCUUUCCUUCUUCCUUCCUUCCUUUCUUGUCCAUUGCUUCCUCUUUUCUUUUUCUGUCCUUCCUUCCUUUCUUUUCCAUUCCUUCCUUCUCCAUUCCUUCCUCUUUUCUUUUUUCUUCUUCCGUGCUUCCUUUUUCAUUUUCCUUUCUUCCUUCCUUCCUUCCUUGUCCCUCCCUUCCUUCCUUUUCCAUUUCUUCCUCAUUUCUUCUGUCCUUCCUUCCUUUCUUUUCCAUUCCUUCCCUCUUUCUUUUUUCUUCUUUCGUCCUUACUUUUUUCUUCCUUCCUUUCUUCCUUCUUCCGUCCUUCCUUCUUUCCUCUUCUCUUCUUCCGUCCUUCCUUCAUUUCUUUCCCCUCCUUCCUUCUUUCCUCUUUUCUUCUUCUAUUCUUUCAGCGUAGUGUAAACUCCUCUGGCCUGAAGUUACAGUUUCACCUCCGACACUGGAGACUCCUUCCGUAAACGUUAAACAAACCUCUCUUUACAGAAAUCUUCGCCACAUCAACGGUUAACGAUAACACACUAAACCGCGCUACUGUCAGAGCUGCUGUUAUACAAAAUGAAUCAACACCUUCUGACCAAUCAGAGUCCAGCAGCAGCGUGGAUGAAUGCAACAUUGGAUGGUAGCGUUAUUCACGCUAACGCGGCUCACCUGGAGUAGCAUUUAUUAAAGGAAGCUGCAUCGGGAGAUCGAAAUGCCGUGUUGGUCAGUUUACAUAACGCAGAUCGCCCUGUCCGAACUCACUUCGCCUCUUUACCUCAUUAGCAUCGGCGUUUUUUUUUUUUGACGUCUGAUUUGUUUCGCCCGCACGCCGCUUUCAGAACCGAUUCACCAUUUCCCGCUAAACGCGCUGCACAUUAGCGCUUGACGGCUUUCGAAAACUUAAAUAAAACACACGAGGAGCUCCAAACCAGUCGUGUGCCUGAGCCUUCCGUGGCGUGUCUACGUGUGUCAGAAAUUCAGAAGCUCUGGGUUAUUCUUCUUUCAGGCUUCUCUGUACUUUGUUGAAUGUUUCAAAUGUCACAAUUGCUAAUGUGCUUUUAGCUGAACUGAAUUCAACAAGUAGCCAUCGUGGAGAAAAAGAGAAAAUAAAAACAAAGAGAGUGACAAAAGAGUCACUAGAAAAGUGAACAGAUUGCAGAAUUUUGCACUGGUUCAAGCAUUUAAAUGUGUUAUAGCCUGUUAGCUAACCAGCUAAUUCACAACACGGCGUAGAGUGAAAGAUUAGCUGUUUUUUGAUGAUUAGCAAAGAAAUGGUCCAAUGAGCAACAGGUAACUUUAUCUGAUCUGCUAUAUCUGCUAUCAACGUUUUAAAACCGUGCAGGUAUGAUUAUUAAUCAGGUAUGAUUAGUGCAACAAGAUCACAUAAAGUUAAGCUAGUUAAUGUAAGAAGAGACACAGAUGAACUACAGGCAAAUACGGCCAACUUGAAAGAUAUUGUGUGCGGAAAUAGUGUGCGAGAGGAAAAGUGUUUGAGGACAGAGUUUUUGUGGAAAAGUGUGAGGGGAAAUGUGUAAUGUGUAAAAAGUGUGUGAUGGGGGAAAAGUGUGUGACGGGGGGAGGGAAGUGUGUGAGAGGAAAAGUGUGUGUGAGGGACAAGUGUGUGAUGGGGAAAGUGUGUGAGGUAAAAUUGUAUGAAGGGAAAGUGUGUGAGGAGAAUGUGUGAGGGGAGUUUGUGUGAGGGGAGAGUGUGUGUGUGAGGAGAGUGUGUGUGAGGAGAGUGUGUGAGGGGAAAGCGUGUGUGUGAGGAGAGUGUGUGUGAGGAGAGUGUGUG
This is a long non-coding RNA of Ictalurus punctatus (channel catfish), 2133 nucleotides long. The record is from Ensembl. NCBI's taxonomy places the organism in Eukaryota, Metazoa, Chordata, Actinopteri, Siluriformes, Ictaluridae.